UGGGGAAUAUUGGACAAUGGGCGAAAGCCUGAUCCAGCCAUGCCGCGUGUGUGAAGAAGGUCUUCGGAUUGUAAAGCACUUUAAGUUGGGAGGAAGGGCAGUAAGCGAAUACCUUGCUGUUUUGACGUUACCGACAGAAUAAGCACCGGCUAACUCUGUGCCAGCAGCCGCGGUAAUACAGAGGGUGCAAGCGUUAAUCGGAAUUACUGGGCGUAAAGCGCGCGUAGGUGGUUCGUUAAGUUGAAUGUGAAAGCCCCGGGCUCAACCUGGGAACUGCAUCCAAACCUGGCGAGCUAGAGUAGGGCAGAGGGUGGUGGAAUUUCCUGUGUAGCGGAGAAAUGCAUAGAUAUAGGAAGGAACACCAGUGGCGAAGGCGACCGCCUGGGCUCAUACUGACACUGAGGUGCGAAAGAGUGGGGAGCAAACAGG
Molecule: ribosomal RNA, 429 nt
Filed under: Pseudomonadota bacterium
Lineage: Bacteria; Pseudomonadati; Pseudomonadota
Description: Proteobacteria bacterium partial 16S ribosomal RNA
Rfam family: Bacterial small subunit ribosomal RNA
Source: RNAcentral